Molecule: RNA transcript, 1608 nt
Organism: Selaginella moellendorffii
Lineage: Eukaryota; Viridiplantae; Streptophyta; Lycopodiopsida; Selaginellales; Selaginellaceae
Gene name: CLK4-associating serine/arginine rich protein
Exons: 12
Source: RefSeq, a predicted model, not a curated record
GCUAGGGUUUGUGAGUCUUCCUCUCUUGAUCGAGCCAGGAUGUGGCACGAAGCUCGGCGAUCCGAGAAGAAAGUCCAUGAUAUCAUGGACGCUGCCCGCAAGCGCGCGGAGCGGCGGGCGGUGUUCUUCGCAAAGCGCCGGGGCGAUCCGCAGCAACAGCUCAAGAUCACGGGAACGCGAUGCCGGAUGUACGUCGAUCAGGCGAUGUACCAGGCGACGCAGGAUCAGCACGGCCUGAUCCCGUGGAUCGGCAAGAAGGAUAAUCUGAUUGAUAGAUUUGAUGGGAGGGCACUCCUGGAUUUCAUCCGGGAGAGCGAUAAGUCGAGGCGGCACGAGAAGACCGAAGAGGAGGAAGAGCUCGAGGAGCUGGUUAACUUUGAGCGGUAUCGGGACCUUAUCAAGCGUCGUCGUCGAGGAUUCAGUGAUGAGCAAGGGCUGCUGGAUGUUGAUCACGAAGACGAAACGAAGACUGGCUCCUCUACAUUGGACAGGGAGCGUGCUGGACAGGGUGUUUACGCACAAGUUGGAUACUCAUACGAUGGAGGAGCCCGUGCUAGUGACGAUGAAGAUGCUGUCGAAGAUGAAGAGGGCGAUUUGGAAAGCAGCAGCGGUGAUAGUGAGGACGAAGAAACUGACUGCAUCGGUAGAGACCACGGUGUGCAGCGGUUCGGCUGGCUUACACACAUGGAUAAGAAAGUUAAAGCGGCAGAACGUCGGCAGAAAGAAGCUGCAAAGGGUGACACGGCUAUGAAGCUUAGCAGGAAAGAGAGGCGGAAAGCUUCACAGUACGAAAGAGAUGCUGCACGUCGGUUUAUCUCUAGCGAUCCUUAUAGAGAGAGCGACUCGUACUCUUACAGAAAGCGCUCGAGAAGAUCGAGGUCUCGGUCUCGUUCUCCUCGGUCAAGGCGGCAUGGAUACUCCGAUAGAGCCCGCAAGUCCGACUCUUCGCGCGUGGGGAAGAUUGAGUACAUAACGGAGUUUGGAGGUGACAACGAAGCGGAUGACAAGGGACGUAGCAGAGGAUACUCUCCACCGCCAUCGCCUCCUCCAUGCCAAGUUGACACUAGUAGUCGGUCGGAGCACUGGCCCUGUGUCCUUGCAAUGCUGCAGUUCUAUCCUGGCCCCCAAGGCAGCUCUUGGGGCCUGCUCCCGGUCGAAUACUGGAAGCCUUGCACGGUGAUCCAGCGACAUCAGUCGGGGGUUCUCUGAUUGCAGACGCGGAGAAGGGCUACAGAAAAGACCACAAAGUGACGCCUUUGAGCAGUACAUCAUCUGCUAUUGCAAAGCUCAGUAAACCUCCAGCUGCUCCAAAGGCUCAGCAAGCAGAGAAGAAGGAAACUCCACAAGAGCGGCUAAAGAGAAUAAUGAGCAAGCAACUCAACAAACAAAUUAAGAAAGACACUGUCUCGGAGAUGCUAAAGAAGCGAGAGCAAGAGAGGCAAAGACAGGAAAAACUCGCAGAGACGCGAAGAUUUAGAAGCCGAAGCCGCAGUAGCAGCCGGAGUCGCAGUAGGAGUCGAUCACCAUCAAGAUACUACGAUCGCAGAUAGUUUGUAUAACAAACGAGACGUUAAUAAAGUAAAGACACGACAUUUCGUUAGUUUGGUA